UUGGAGGGCAAGUCUGGUGCCAGCAGCCGCGGUAAUUCCAGCUCCAAUAGCGUAUAUUAAAGUUGUUGCAGUUAAAAAGCUCGUAGUUGAAUUUCGGGAUCAGAUUGUCGGUCGUGCCUCGGUACGCACUGGCAUUAUUGGUUCCUACCUUCUGAAGAACCGCGAUGUCAUUAAUUUGGUGUCGUGGGGGAUCAGGACUGUUACUUUGAAAAAAUUAGAGUGUUUAAAGCAGGCUUACGCUUGAAUACAUUAGCAUGGAAUAAUGAAAUAGGACGUUUGAUUCUAUUUUGUUGGUUUCUAGGAUUGACGUAAUGAUUAAUAGGGAUAGUUGGGGGCAUUAGUAUUCAAUUGUCAGAGGUGAAAUUCUUGGAUUUAUUGAAGACUAACUACUGCGAAAGCAUUUGCCAAGGAUGUUUUCAUUAAUCAAGAACGAAAGUUAGGGGAUCGAAGACGAUCAGAUACCGUCGUAGUCUUAACCAUAAACUAUGCCGACUAGGGAUCGGAUGAUGUUAAUUUUUUAAUGACUCAUUCGGCGCCUUACGGGAAACCAAAGUGUUUGGGUUC
This 564-nucleotide ribosomal RNA is filed under the name uncultured Glomeromycotina. RNAcentral describes it as "SSU rRNA". It matches the Rfam family "Eukaryotic small subunit ribosomal RNA", at positions 548 to 1114 of the family's 1831-position model. Lineage: Eukaryota; Fungi; Glomeromycota. The record is from RNAcentral.